RNAcentral lists this long non-coding RNA (350 nucleotides) under Daucus carota (carrot). RNAcentral's name for it is "long non-coding RNA (DCAR_LNC006325)". The record is from RNAcentral. Lineage: Eukaryota; Viridiplantae; Streptophyta; Magnoliopsida; Apiales; Apiaceae.
GAGAAACAAAUGGGUAUGGGAUAGAAUUAAUAUGUCGUCUUUUGGCGUUCAAGCACAGGCUAGAAAUCUUCUAUAUGACUGGAGAAAGGCAUUGCAGGAGAAGCAGAAUCAUACUCCAGUAGUGUAGUCAAGCCCUCGGACAUGGACUCCACCACCAACAGGGUAUGUAAAGAUUAAUAUUGAUGCGGCUAUUUUUGCGGAAACAAAGCAUAUUGGAAUGGGUGGUGUUAUUCGAGAUGCACAGGGUAGUUUUUUGCGGGCCAGAGGACGUCAAAUUGCAGCUGAGUUUCUCCCAAAGGAAGCCGAGGCUUUGAGUCUAAAAGAAGCUUUAUAUUGGGCAAUCACAACAG